CUUCAGUUACUUGUGCGGUCAUAUAAUUUCAGGAGCUCAGACCUCUAUUUGAGGAGUUACUACAGAUUCCAGCUAAAGUGGCGGUGACGUCACCACAACGCUUGUGCCAAGCUAUGUGCACCUUGAGGCCACGUGAAGCGUCGAAAGCCCGCUGGCAGGAGGUCACGGGGCAGACCCAGAUGCCACGGGUCGACUGACUGAGACGACUGGCUGAUGGAUAAAUAUAUUAGAGCAGACUUCGUAUCUCAGCAGUGUUGUUGUCGAGACAAGCUCAUCCGAGUCCAAGUCCAGUCCGAGACCAGAGUAGGUCAAGUUCAAGUCAAGACCGAGACCAGAAGAGGGUUGAGUAUGAGUCAAGACCAAUUAUUAUUUUAACAUUUAACAUUUCUGCUUUACAAAAUACAGUAUAACUGUAUAAUAACUAAAAUGGGCCUAAAACCAAACAAUAAUGUAUUAAAUAUGACAAUGUUUAUGCAGAAAGUGAUAUAAACAUUUACAUUAAAUUUGUUAACAAUUUCCUCAUUUGCACUACUAUAUUUCAUUCAUUGUAAAUCAAGAAAGCAUUUCUGCUUACUUUUGCCAGCAAGAUUUUAUUUCAGAAACCAUUCAAUUCUGAUGACAUUGAAAGAAGUAUUUUUACAUUUUCUUCAGUAUGUGUAGCAUUCAUGUAACUAAUGGCUAAAGCAUUUCUAAAAGACUAGAGGUCGUUCAGACCAGAGCAAGUGAGCGAAGCAGAGCAGUGUGACACUCUGCUCAAUAACCCAGUCCAUGCACGUGCGCUCUGCUCAGCCGCUCACGGCCCAAGCGGACGCUCCGCUCAAGUAAUGCUCACGCUCACUGGUAAAAAAGCGUUCACUCAAAUCCCGCUCCGACAUUAAAUUUCUCUGUAGUAUACUUGGUUCCAAAUACGUACACAGGGGGUAGCUACAGUGGCCCAAGCAACUGCCCCUUUGCCCACAUGGGCUGAGGUGCCCCUCUGGGUGAAAUAUAGACAAUAGGCCAAUAUUUUUUAAAUUAUUAAAUGAUUAAUGACGUACACAUCUGAAAUUAUGUGAUUGUAUUGUUGUGUUUUUGUAUAUAAAAUCUCGCUGUUUAUUUUGGACUGGUUUACAACUGCUGUUAGAUAAUUGGGUCUACCAGACCUUCGUUAUCAUUUGUAAUCAGUCAAAUAUUUCUGUUAGCACAUAUGUCAUCAACAUCUUCAAAUAACACCUUAAAAAAAAAUUCAGUUCUAAAUUACCAUUAUUUACUUUAAACAAGUCAUCAAACAUGCCUCUGCAAGUGAUAAAACAUAUGUGCGCUGGCACGGAAACUCGCAUACACGCAAAUUUGUGCUUUUCAGUUUAACUGGACCUGAGAGACACAAACGACCCAGAGAACUACAAUCUUUUCAACUUUAAAGUUUGUUCGAGUCCUUUUAUGGCAAUAAUGAAAACAUGGACUGGUACCAGGAAAAAUAUUGCAGGUAAAAGUGAAAUUCAUAAUUGUUCUUCAGUUGUCUCCACAGAACGAUAUUGUAGAUUUGAUACAUUAAUAGGUUUCUGAUUUAAUGCUAUCAGACUUUGGGUCUGUAAAUUAAAAUGAGCAAUUUCUCAUCCUAAAUUUCGUGUUCAGUUUUAAAGGGCGUAUUAAGUUAUCCAGAAAAGAGCAGUGAAUGUUUUUCUCUUUUUCAGUGUUGUUGCUUUAUUAAUAUUCCCUACAAUUUUAUAUGUACGAACGAAAUGCAAUAUAAAGGACUGUGGUUAUUUAUAUAAUAAUUAUUAUAUUAGUAGAUACCAUGUGCCCCCUUUGUUUUUCCUUAAUAUUUUUAAAGCAUUAUAAAAUAAAUCUGGACUUUAUAUGCGUCAAACGAUCAUGUGUUGUGCAUGCACGGUUUAUAUGUACAGCAGGGUUUAACCAUAGAUUUAACAAAUAAAAAAUAUUUGUGCUGCAUAAAGUGAGAUUUUGUCCAAUAUAUAUAUUAGAUGAAAUCAUGUUUAAUGAUCCCAAAACAUAAACAAAUUAUUCAAUUCACAAAUUAUACUGCCUUUUUUUUUCUAAAUGUACAAUCAUUAAUAGAUUUUUUCUCUGCGCAUGAAUGCAGCAAGCGAUGUCAAAGAUGUUAUCAGCAACCACUAAUCUAGAGUCAUCUAGAUUAAGCAGAAAUCGAAAACAACAGGCGGUCGAUUAAGUAAAAUAAUUCUGCUAUGAAAUUCUCUAUGCGAGAGCGGAAAUCUUUACUAAUCAAAUGAUCAAUUGUACAAUAGAGGCAUAAAAGCAGAAUGCUGCGCCAGCAAAUUAUGACACACUAAUCUGCAAGAUAAUACAUGUUUAUUAGUUUUGAUACAGGGACUUUUUGUGUGUGUUCGCCGGGAUUCAAGGAAAAAUGAUUUGCCAAUAUACAGUAUUAUUAAUCUUACAUAUUCAAUUGAGGGUGCUCUAACGUUCGCAACCCCGCAGAACCGGGCUUGCAUCUAGCUGGCAGCUGCACUGACAUGAUGGCAAAACAACAAGAUACCUUACUUAUCUAUUAAUUUAUUAUCGAAUAGUAGUGUAGUCUACUAGCUCACCUUUUGCUGCACUACCAUGUUCGCGUAGCACAUCCUCAUGCUCUGUGGCAAUGCGACACGUAUGACUCCAAAAGGGAUAUUUGCUAAUUCUCACAGUCUCUCCAAACUCCCUUUCGAUUACCUCGUUCUUGGCUUUGAUUUAUACUUUGCAUUUAUUUAGGUUAUAAGGUUUGCAACUUCACUAAAACAAUGUUAAAGCUCCAUAACAUCAGGACUAUUGCUUAUUUAGCAGAUUCCCAAACCAGCAUAUCACAAAGCGCAUUCUAGGUUGAGCGAGCGGCACUGAGCGGCCUGAGUGAGUGGAGCGGAAUCUUCAAAAAGGCGCUCUCUGCUCAGGUGAAAUUAUCACCGCUCCGCUCAUGCUCCGCACCGCUCACAUGCUCUGGUUCAGACCAAUGCUGUGCAACGAACCCAGAUAGGACACAUACGUCUCUGAGAUGUCUGUUUUAGAUCUUUUCAUCUGGAAAGCAUCUAACAUCUGCUUAAUAUCUUAAAAAGACAUCUGCAAUAAGCAAACAAUGUAAUAUAGACGUCUUCCAGAUGUAAACACAUACAUCAAAUAGACGUCUGGGUGUUGUGCUAUCAGGGAAAAGAAUAUAACACAAGUGUCUCAAGACACGUUUUUAACAGUUGAUGUUCUUUUUAACUUGACAAAAGAACUUUAAAAAAAACGUGGCGCUCCUGCACGAGACGCCAAAAACACAGCGAUACAUAAAGCAACGGUCAAAGACAUCUGUUUAGCAUGUUUACAUAGGAAAACAACUGAAAAACAGCAUCGGUGGACACAACCCCUUAUUAACAACACACAGCACCAAUGGAAGUUUCUCGAAGUUACCUCUCAAAAAAGCAGUCUUUUUUGACUGUAGGUAAAUAGCCACUUCAUCCAACGAACGAAUCGGACUGAAUAGCCAAUCAAUUCAGAACUUUUUGCUAACCUGUUUGGCCAAUUUGCUGAAAAGAACCGAUAGAAUAACGGUAACUCAACAGAAUGAUUUAUUUUUAUGAACUGGGCAUCACUAGUUCUGAUUCUACUCAGCAGAUUGAAAUGCAGGACAUGACGUCAAGAUCUCUGAUAUUAUCAGUCAAAAAUGUUGGUCAGAUAAGUGGAAGCUUUUCAAUGUAUAUUUUUUUGAAAAGGGACUCAACUGGACUCUGGGUUAAGCCUGAGUCCACACUUGUUCAAGUUCGAGUCAAGACUGAGUCAAAUUGCUCACAAGUCCAUGACAAGACCAAGACCUUGAAAAAAUGGUCUUGGACUCUGAUUUGAGACACUGUACCUCAGUGUGUUGAAAAAGUUGGGAAAUAUAAAUUGAUAGACAUUUCAAUGAUAAUAUUGUGUAGUAUGUAAUUUCCACAUUUGUUUUAUUUUUAUUUUUUAUUUUUUUUCUGGAGGGGAGCUUGAUGUGGAACUUUGUGUGUAUGUGUGUGUUUAGUAAAACCUAAAAAACACCUACAUUGUGGGGACUAGCCAUUAGGAAAACAGCUUAAUAAACAUACUAAAUUAUGUCUUAAUGAAAAUGUAAAAAUGUAGAAAGGUGUGUGAGGGUAAGGGUUAGGAGUUGGGGGACAGAAAAUAUUAUUAGUUGAGUAUAUAAGCAAUAGAAGUCAAUGGAAAUGAUAUCCAACCAUGAUAGAAAAACAAACAUGUGUGUGCGUUUGUGUGUGAUUUGCUUCUGUUUCAAUCUCAUUG
Molecule: long non-coding RNA, 4239 nt
Organism: Myxocyprinus asiaticus (Chinese sucker)
Lineage: Eukaryota; Metazoa; Chordata; Actinopteri; Cypriniformes; Catostomidae
Exons: 3
Source: RefSeq, a predicted model, not a curated record